RNAcentral lists this non-coding RNA (30 nucleotides) under Mus musculus (house mouse). Lineage: Eukaryota; Metazoa; Chordata; Mammalia; Rodentia; Muridae. The record is from RNAcentral.
UAGAAGUUCACUUCUGAGGAGGCUCAAACU